GGUGUGUACUGGUCUUUCCGUCCUUCCUUCUGGUUUUGCUGCCUUCUGCUCUUAACUGAGCGGGAGGUCUAGCUCCAGAUCGUUUACUUUGAAAAAAUUAGAGUGUUCAAAGCAGGUACCAAAAACUUUUACGCCUUGAAUACAUUAGCAUGGGAUAAUAGAAUAGGACAUCGCUCUUUAUUUUUGUUGGUUUCUAAGAGCGGCGUAAUGAUUAAUAGAGAUAGUUGGGGGUAUUCAUAUUUAAUUGUCAGAGGUGAAAUUCUUGGAUUUAUGAAAGAUGAACUCCUGCGAAAGCAUUUAUCAAGGAUGUUUUCAUUAAUCAAGAACGAAAGUUAGGGGAUCGAAGACGAUCAGAUACCGUCGUAGUCUUAACCAUAAACUUUGCCGACCAGAGAUCAGGAGACGUUACAUGGAUGACUCCCCUGGCAUCUUGCGAGAAAUCACAAGUCUUUGGGUUCUGGGGGGAGUAUGGUCGCAAGGCUGAAACUUAAAGGAAUUGACGGAAGGGCACCACCAGGAGUGGAGCCUGCGGCUUAAUUUGACUCAACACGGGGAAACUUACCAGGUCCAGACAUAGUAAGGAUUGACAGAUUGAGAGCUCUUUCUUGAUUCUAUGGGUGGUGGUGCAUGGCCGUUCUUAGUUGGUGGAGUGAUUUGUCUGCUUAAUUGCGAUAACGAACGAGACCUUAACCUGCUAAAUAGCCAGGCUAGCUUUGGCUGGUCGCCGGCUUCUUAGAGGGACUAUCGG
This 748-nucleotide ribosomal RNA is filed under the name uncultured eukaryote. RNAcentral describes it as "bacterial SSU rRNA". It matches the Rfam family "Eukaryotic small subunit ribosomal RNA", at positions 669 to 1426 of the family's 1831-position model. The record is from RNAcentral.